UGGGGAAUUUUGGACAAUGGGGGCAACCCUGAUCCAGCAAUGCCGCGUGUGUGAAGAAGGCCUUCGGGUUGUAAAGCACUUUUGUCCGGGAAGAAAUCGCACCUGAUAAUACCGGGUGUGGAUGACGGUACCGGAAGAAUAAGGACCGGCUAACUACGUGCCAGCAGCCGCGGUAAUACGUAGGGUCCAAGCGUUAAUCGGAAUUACUGGGCGUAAAGCGUGCGCAGGCGGUUGUGCAAGACCGAUGUGAAAUCCCCGGGCUUAACCUGGGAAUUGCAUUGGUGACUGCACGGCUAGAGUGUGUCAGAGGAGGGUAGAAUUCCACGUGUAGCAGUGAAAUGCGUAGAGAUGUGGAGGAAUACCGAUGGCGAAGGCAGCCCCCUGGGAUAACACUGACGCGCAUGCACGAAAGCGUGGGGAGCAAACAGG
This 429-nucleotide ribosomal RNA is filed under the name Bacillota bacterium. RNAcentral describes it as "Firmicutes bacterium partial 16S ribosomal RNA". It matches the Rfam family "Bacterial small subunit ribosomal RNA", at positions 355 to 776 of the family's 1533-position model. Lineage: Bacteria; Bacillati; Bacillota. The record is from RNAcentral.